Long non-coding RNA from Poecilia latipinna (sailfin molly), 663 nucleotides. RefSeq lists it as uncharacterized. The record is from RefSeq and is a predicted model, not a curated record. NCBI's taxonomy places the organism in Eukaryota, Metazoa, Chordata, Actinopteri, Cyprinodontiformes, Poeciliidae. The transcript has 2 exons.
GGUGGAAUUCUGGGAACCCCACAAUGUAAAAAAAAAAAACGUAGAUUUUACGGUAAAACGCCGGCAGCUGGGGUUGGCAAAAUUCCACUGUAAAAACAAUUUAUGGUGUUGGGAACCCGGGUUGUUGGAAUGGUUCCUUUUUGCUGCUUUCCCCCUCUUUUACCACCAGAGGGUGCCAAGAGGCUGUUCCCUCCUGAGGGAGUUGCCCGUGAUUCCUGGAUUCCUGCACAGCUGCAAUUAAUCAGAUCAUCUGGAGGAGUAUAUGAGGACGGAGCUGCUGACACUUCAGAUCCAGAGUGUUAGCCAGUAUUUGGUUAUUCCUCGUGACGCUGUGGACCCACUGGUUGCCAGAGUUCCACUGACACCUCUACAGUAAACCAAACCUCUUUGGAUUACCCUGUGAUCAGUCCCACUUGCUCCUCGCCUUCUGUGAUCCAAAGCUUACCUGUCCGCUCUCCACCGCAGCCUCUUGUUCAGUCAAGCAGCAACCCUCCAUCUGAACCAAACCCGGUAACCACAGUGAUUCUUCCCCCUGGACAAGACCUACCUCCACCCAAGUAAGACCACUCCGUUUAUUCUGACACUGCCAUUUUCAACGACCCCUGAACUCACCAUCUCUCUUUUUUUGCCUCCCAGUGCUCCAGUGAUCCAGAUUGCAGACUU